GCCCUGCUGCACUAGUUCAAGUGUAGAACUCUCUCCAGAAACCAUAAUAGAUGGGUGUAAUCUCUAGUGAAAAUGAAUACAUUUUCUUGAUCAUUUGGAGACAGGAGCUGUUUUGGAGUAAGGAAACCCUCUGCGAACAGGCGCACAGGAGAGAGUGUUCUCUGUGUAUCCAGCCUGGUGAAAGGGAAUAGAAUCUGGGUACCAGACAAAAAUCCUGCUCUCAAGGACCUGGUUUGGGAGUUGUGGGGGAAGCCGAAAAGUCAUGGCCCAAAGGGGUGACUGAAGGGUCAGAAGAAACAAAGAUCGCCAAACAUCUACCAGUGACUGUGAAGCUUCAAGGACACUCAGCUUCAAGGACUUCAAGGAAAUCAGAUGCUAGAGACAGUGAAACAGAAAGAACUGCUUAAACAUUGGUUACUUCAUCUGUGACAGGAAGAUACUAUUUAUAACAUGGAGAUGAUGAACAAUUCAAUCUUUGCUGGCAAAAUAGCUCAGUGGGUACUAGAGCUUUCCACCAACCCUGAAGACCUGAGUUUAAUUCCCAAGACCCACAUGGUAGAAGGAAAAAAUUGUCUCCUGCAAAUUGUCCUCUGGUCUCCACAUUAAAGGCUCAGCAAGUUAAAACACAAAUUCACACACGCUAAAAAACUGUAAUAAAAAAUUUUAAAGACCUUUUUUUUUAAUUUAAAAAUUGGAACAGAUAUAUUGAGCUCCCACCGUGUGUGACAAAUUGCAAUCACACCUGAUUUGUUUAACUGUACAUAUAUUUGUGUGCCUGACUUGUUACUGUGCAUAUAUUUGUGGGCUUGAAUUGUUAGUGUUCAUACCUUUGUGUACCUGAUUGUUGCUGUGCAUACAUUUAUGCAUCUGAAUUGUUACUGUGCAUAUAUUUGUGUAUCUUUUAUUGCCUGAACCAAGAAGCAUCAAAUCCAGCAGAGGAGAUCAUGGAGAUAAGAACCAGCUUGGAUGAGUAUUCUACCUCAUCACAAGUCUGCUUUCUGUUGUCUUACUUUUUUUGAUGGUUAUUAUAUUUGACUUUGAAUUUUACAAAAUAUAUGUGCUCAGUUUAUCAUAAGCUUUGUGGAUUCUGCAUUUUCCACACAAAUCUUAAUUCCUCCUCUCCCUUAAACUACUGAUUUAUUCUUCUUCAAAAUAUAUAGCUUAAUACUUAAUCAGUGCCAACCAAUAUGACAAUGUCAACCUUUUUAUUUUCUACAUGCAUAUAAGUACCUUUUACCUGUGUUGUAACAGUUGACAGAUUCCAUAAGUUCCAAUGAUUUUAGGUACAAAAAUAUAAAGGCUUAUAUAAGAACAUCUUUGCAAUGUUUUAUAUUGAUCCUCAUUAAAUUCACUGCUGAUUGUUUUUUAAUUUUAAGUGAUACUUUUUCUGCAGGCAGCUCCUAUCAGUUUUACUAACUCUGUUAUCCACCUGAGAUACAGUUCGUUGUUAUCCAGUUUAUUAAAAUGAAAUAAAAAAUGUCUC
Long non-coding RNA from Mus musculus (house mouse), 1483 nucleotides. RefSeq annotates it as predicted gene, 39616. The record is from RefSeq and is a predicted model, not a curated record. The transcript is spliced from 3 exons. NCBI's taxonomy places the organism in Eukaryota, Metazoa, Chordata, Mammalia, Rodentia, Muridae.